AUGUUUAACUUGUUGUCCACAAGGACUCCUAGAUCUUUUUCACACGUACUGCUGUCGAGCCCCCAUUCUGUAUCUUUGCAUUCCAUUUUUUCUGCCAAAGUGAAGUAUCUUGCAUUUGUCCCUGUUGAACUUCAUUUUGGCAGAAAAAAUGGAAAUCAAAGAUACAGAAUGGGGGACGCCUGGCUUGACAGCAGUGUGUGCGAAAAAGACCUUGGAGUCCUUGUGGACAACAAGUUAAACAUGAGCCAACAAUGUGAUGCGGCUGCUAAAAAAGCCAAUGGGAUUCUUGCCUGCAUCAAUAGGGGAAUAGCGUCUAGAUCCAGGGAAGUUAUGCUCCCCCUCUAUUCUGCCCUGGUCAGACCACACCUGGAAUACUGUGUCCAAUUUUGGGCACCACAGUUGAAGGGAGAUGUUGACAAGCUGGAAAGCGUCCAGAGGAGGGCGACUAAAAUGAUUAAGGGUCUGGAGAACAAGCCCUAUGAGGAGCGGCUUAAAGAGCUGGGCAUGUUUAGCCUGCAGAAGAGAAGGCUGAGAGGAGACAUGAUAGCUAUGUGCAAAUACGUGAAGGGAAGUCAUAGGGAGGAGGGAGCAAGCUUGUUUUCUGCCGCCCUGCAGACUAGGACAUGGAACAAUGGCUUCAAACUACAGGAAAGGAGAUUCCACCUGAACAUCAGGAAGAACUUCCUCACUGUGAGAGCUGUUCGACAGUGGAACUCUCUCCCCGGGGCCGUGUUAGAGGCUCCUUCUUUGGAGGCUUUUAAGCAGAGGCUGGAUGGCCAUCUGUCGGGGGUGCUUUGAAUGCGAUUUCCUGCUUCUUAGCAGGGGGUUGGACUAGAUGGCCCAUGUGGUCUCUUCCAACUCUACUAUUCUAUGAUUCUAUGAUUCUAUGAUUCUAUGACAUGCUAGGAAAGAGGACUUCACUUGACAGUGAAAGAAGGGUGAAAGGGGAGCUAGGGUAACCUUCCCAGGGAGCGAAUUCCAGAGCAUAGGGGCAGCUAUGGAGAAGACCCCUUCUCAUGUCCUCAUUAACUUUGCCAGAGAAGGUGA
Molecule: long non-coding RNA, 1047 nt
Filed under: Anolis carolinensis (green anole)
Lineage: Eukaryota; Metazoa; Chordata; Lepidosauria; Squamata; Anolidae
Description: lncRNA (ENSACAG00000040006.1)
Source: RNAcentral